UUGACAACCAUGACAAUAACCCGAUCAUGAUCCAAAUCCAACACACCAAUAUCCAAAGCCCAAACGCGUGAGAUGCAGUUUUUUAUUCUCAUUGUUUUCCUAUUGCGGCAAAUCCUACCUCGUUAAAUAGCCACACUCAUUGCAGCUGCACACCAUGGAAGAAACCCUAAUGCAAACACAGCCGCAUACUGUUUCAUCUACCAAGGUAUAUCCAAUGUUUUCUUUUAGCUUUGUUUAUGUUUUUGAACUUUGAUUUUCUUACUAAUUUUCAUCACAAUAGCAUAUAAUUUAGAUCUGAUAUCAUAUUUCUGAUGCAUGCCAUUUGAUUUAUUGUACCCUUGAUUCAAUGAAUCAAGCUUUCAUUUUAAUUGUUGAUAUUGUUCAUUAAUAUCAUGUUUUUCUAACUAUUUAGCCUUUAUUUUUUUCAGUGAUUUGAUUGCUAUUACACUGGGUCAAUGCAGAUACAGCUAUGCAUUGAGGUUGUAGUAGGUGCCUGUCGAAGUAGCGGUUACUUCCGGUUAAGAUCUAGCAUCUCAUAGUUGUGUGUGUGUUUUGGUUAGAUCAUGGUUGAUUACUUUCUUUAGGUUAUAGAUUAUGCAUGAUUUGUUUAUCUGCAUGAAUUUGACACUAGAAGCUGAUUCAUUUCACAAAAAUAUAUGUUAAGUUUGCAAACGAAAACAUAACAAAGAUUUUGGUUGUUUUAAUGUUUUGUUUGGAUAAGCUUGAUUGGCUUUGAAUGGUUUUGCUUGUUGAACUGACUUUAUGGCAAGGUUGCCUGUUCAUCUUCGCACAAUUGACUUAAGAAUAUUUUUAUCUGAUAAACUAUAGAGUCGUUAUGUUCUAUUGAAAUUUCCUUUCGGGUUAACUCCACUUUCGAGUUAUUUUGUAAAGAAAUUUCAAUGGAAGAUAAUGACUCUACAGUUUAUUACAUAAAAAAAUUGAUGUUAAUUGUGCAAUCAUGAAUGUAUAACCUAACUAUAAAGUGAAGGGGAAAAUCCUUCAAAAUUGAGAGAAGUUUAUCCAAAUAAAACAUUAAUAACAAAAAUCUUUGUUAUUCUUUUGUUUGUCAUUUUCUAGAGUCGAGGAACAAAUUCCAGCUCUUAAGUGUUUUUAUGCGAUAAACUAUAAAGUCGUUAUGUUCUAUUGAAAUUUCCUUUCAGGUUAACUCGACUCACGAGUUAUUUUGUAAGGAAAUUUCAAUGGAAAAUAACGACUCUACAGUUUAUUACAUAAGAAACAAUUAUUGUUAAUUGUGCAAUCAUAAUGUAAAACCCAACUAUAAAGUGAAGGGCAAAAUCCUUCAAAACGGACCAAGUUUAUCCAAAUAAAACUAGUAACAAAAAUCUUUGUUAUUCUUUUGUUUGUCAUUUUCUAGAGUUGAGUAACAGAUUCCAGUUCUUAAGUGUUUUUAUGCGAUAAAUUAUAGAGUCGUUAUGUUCUAUUGAAAUUUCCUUUCAGGUUAACUCGACUCAUGAGUUAUGUUGUAAGAAAAUUUCAAUGGAAAAUAACGACUCUACCGUUUAUUACAUAAGAAACAAUUAAUGUUAAUUGUGCAAUCAGGAAUGUAUAACCUAACUCUAAAAUGAAGGGAAAAAUCCUUCAAAAUCGACCAAGUGUAUCCAAAUAAAACAUUAGUAACAAAAAUCUUUGUUAUUCUUUUGUUUGUCAUUUUCUAGAGUCGAGGAACAUAUUCUAGCUCUUAGUGUUUUUACUCUAUAAACUUUAGAGUCGUUAUGUUCUAUUGAAAUUUCCUUUCAGGGUAACUCGACUCUCGAGUUAUUUUGUAAGGAAAUUUCAAUGGAAGAUAACGACUCUACAGUUUAUUACAUAAGAAACAAUUGAUAUGUUAAUUGUGCAAUCAUGAAUGUAUAACUCAACUAUAAAGUGAAGGGCAAAAUCCUUCAAAAUUGACCAAGUUUAUCCGAUUAAAACAUUAGUAACAAAAAUCUUUGUUAUUCUUUUGUUUGUCAUUUUCUAGAGUUGAGUAACAAAUUCUAGCUCUUAAGUGUUUUUAUGUGAUAAACUAUAGAGUCGUUAUCUUCUAUUGAAAUUUCCUUUCGGGGCAACUCUUUCGAGUUAUUUUGUAAGGAAAUUUCAAUGGAAGAUAACGACUCUACAAUUUAUUUAUUACAUAAAAUCAAUUGAUGUUAAUUGUCCAAUCAUAGCCCAACUAUAAAGUAAAGGGCAAAAUCCUUCAAAGCCGACCAAGUUUAUCCAAAAAUCUCUGUUAUUCCUUUGUUUGUCAUCUUCUAGAGUCGAGUUCAUGUCGAGGAACAAAUUCUAGCUCUUAGGCAAGUGCUAGUUAGCAUGUUAUAACAUCAACUUCAUCGGAUUAUUGCAUGCCUUGAAGCAAGUAUACAACUUCAUCCAAUUGGAACAUUGACAUAAAAUCUUCUAAGCUGUUGUUGAAGAAGCAGAGGUGAAGGAAUUUUGGAACUUCGGGCCUUCUGUUAAUUUCUUCUAUUGUUAUUGAAAAUAGUAUUGUAUUUACCCUUUGUAAUUUUGUUAACUUUUAAUGAUUUUGACAUCAAAUCAAUUCUUGGGCAAUCAAGUAAUGUAUCUUUUUUAUUCUCUAUGUGUUUUGGCUGUGGUAGCUUGUCAGGAAACUUAUAUACAAAGGAACCGUUCUAUU
Molecule: long non-coding RNA, 2632 nt
Filed under: Trifolium pratense (red clover)
Lineage: Eukaryota; Viridiplantae; Streptophyta; Magnoliopsida; Fabales; Fabaceae
Description: long non-coding RNA (TPRA_LNC001325)
Source: RNAcentral